CUUCAUUCCUUAUUCCUCCCCCCCCUCCCUUUUCCCCGGGGCAUGGAGGGCGCGGGGGGCGGCGGGGCCCCCCCGGGGGGUUCGGACCCCCCCGACCGUGCUGUCGAAUACCUGCUGGAGUUGAACCGGAUUAUCGCGACUCAACGACAUCUCUUGGCCUCGCAGCGCCGCCGCAUCGCCCAGCUCGAGGGGCAGCUCCAGCGCCUGGCCCGGGAAAACCGGCACCUGCGGCAGAGGGCGGGGGGGGCGCCCGCCCCCCCCCGGCACCAGGGCCACGCGGACCCCGACGGUCAAUACCAAAACCACUUGGACCCGGAGGGGCAAUUCCCACCCUGCGCCGAUCCCGACCUGCCCUACGCGCCCCAUCCCGACCACGACGGGCAAUACCCGCCCCAUCCGGACCGGGACCUCCCCUACCAGGGACACGUCGACCACGACGGGCAAUAUAGCGGCCAUACAGACCGCGACGGCCAAUACCCACCCCACUUGGAUCGCGACGGGCAAUACCAGGAGCAUCUGGAUCGCGACGGGCAAUACCAGGAGCACUUGGAUCGCGACGGGCAAUACGCCGGGCGUACGGACCGGGAUAGACCCUACGCGGCUCAUCUGGAUCGCGAUGGGCAAUAUGAGGCGUUAACGGACCGCGAUGGGCCGUAUCCCAACCGUGCUGAUCACGAUAGGGCCUACCAGAGCCGUAAGGAUCGCGACAGACCUUACCAGGCCCGUACGGAGCGGGAUGGGCAAUAUAUGAGCCGUACGGAGCGGGAUGGGCAAUAUACGGGUCGUAUGGACCAGGAUGGGCAGUAUCAUGGCUGCUUGGAGCGGGAUCUCCAGUACCAGCCCCACUUGGACCUGAGCCGUAUGGAGCGCGACGGGCAGUAUCCGAGCCAUACGGACCGGGAUGGGCAAUAUCCGAGCCGUAUGGAGCGGGAUGGGCAAUAUCCGAGCCAUACGGACCGUGAUGGGCAGUACACGAGCCGUAUGGAGCGGGAUGGGCAAUACACGAGCCGUAUAGACCCGGAUGGGCAAUACACGAGCCGUAUGGAGCGGGAUGGGCAGUACCAGAGCCACGUGGAGCGGGAGCUGCAGUACCGAGGCCGGGAUGGGCAUUAUCCGCCCUGUCUGGACCGGGAAGGGCCGUAUCCUGCCCCGUGCUCCAGGGAUCGUUGCGGCGCUUCCCAUCAUCACCAUCACCAUCACCACGGCCGGGAUUGGGAGCGGGAUUGGCCGCGGGGGCCCCUCAGCCGCAGCUCCAGCCCCGGGGGGGGAGGACACAGCACCAGCGCCAGCACCAGCCCCGCCACCACCCUGCAGCGCAAGUAAGGACCCCCCCCCCCCCCGGGG
RNAcentral lists this long non-coding RNA (1344 nucleotides) under Strigops habroptila (Kakapo). RNAcentral's name for it is "lncRNA (ENSSHBG00005008114.1)". The record is from RNAcentral. Lineage: Eukaryota; Metazoa; Chordata; Aves; Psittaciformes; Psittacidae.